This is a long non-coding RNA of Homo sapiens (human), 1120 nucleotides long. Lineage: Eukaryota; Metazoa; Chordata; Mammalia; Primates; Hominidae. The record is from Ensembl.
ACACAAGCUGAUGUCAUCUGAUGGGUCUAUUUUAUCUACUUGGCUGUGCAAAUCCUCUUCUGUAGUAUAUGCUUUCUGGUGGACACUAAUAUGGAACACAAAGAUCUUCUCACAUUGCAGCUGCUCCCAUAUAUCCAUUGAUAUAUGCCUCUAACUCCAGACCUUUUUGUCCUUAAUCUUCUAAUCCGGUUAUCUCUUUUCCUUUAGUGCAAUUUUUCCUUAUUUGUUUGUUUUGUUUUUUUUUUUAAGUAAAUAGCUAGGCUUCUAAGCCCUACCACAGAGAGUCAACAGACAAACUGCCCAGGGAAAAGUUAUGACCUCAGGCAAAGUGAAUUUCUACAGCUAAGGCAGAUCCUGAAGAAGCUCACAAAUAAAGGCUGCAUACUCACACAUUCCCUGAAGCUUGACAGUGCCAGCCACCAUACUGUGAGGGAGCUGAAGUAAGCCCACAUGAGGAAGAAUUGAGGUCCCAAGCCAACAGCUGCAGCUAAGAUCCAAGCUCUCAACCAGUACCAGUUCAUCCGUUAUUUCCCAACAAUAUCAAUGAAUAAGAAGGAAGUCUUAAGGCUCCAGGAAUCCCCUCAGGGAGACUAGCUUUCAGAAUUUUAGGCACACUAAGAUAUGGAAGCUAAAAGAGGACUAAGAGGAUUCUGGGGAUAUUACAAGAUAUUGCAGACUAUCUUGUUUUCCUGGAAAAGGAUUUUACCUCAGUCGACUGAAUUACUUUUUUCACUGUGUCUUGCCACUCUUCGUGCAUGCAUCAAAGACCCUAAUAUGACUUCUGGUGGCCUGGGACUCCUUGGGAAAACAGAAAAGGGGCCACAAAUCCCAUUUUGGGAACAAUCUGUUUUACUCAUGGAACCCCUGGAAUUAGAGAAACCAUCAAGCUUUAAAUGGUGUGGCAAAAGGAGCUGAAAAUUAAACUGACCUUCUACUGCAUACCCUUAAAUUGACCCAGGAGGAGCCCUAGCUGCUAUUCCCAUGCCACGCCCCUCUCCAGCAGGAAGUAGCCAGAGUAAGUCGACGCCCAAUUCCCCGUAACAGCAGUUAGGAAUUUCAUUCCUGAGGGGGGUGUUUGUUAUAGGAGAUAAAAAUAAAUUAUUUGGGUAGACAGAGUAAA